Molecule: non-coding RNA, 45 nt
Organism: Trichobilharzia regenti
Lineage: Eukaryota; Metazoa; Platyhelminthes; Trematoda; Strigeidida; Schistosomatidae
Source: Rfam
AUCCAGAUGACAAGUCCCAAAUGGGGUGAAAUGCGCAUCUUGGAU